GCCUUUCUCUUAGGAAUUUUUAGCUCUUUGGCUGAACAAAAUUUCUGUGUGUUCACAGCUUCCAGAAAUAUUAUUUACAGUGUCUAUUAUAGCAGGUGAGGAUACAUUCUAUAUUUAUCAUUUAUCAAUGAGGACAAUAUGUUAAGCAAAAUCUUGUAACCUCUGAAAUUCCAUUCAAAAUUUUUAAGUUCUUCCAAAGUUUUUACUUAUAUAUUCAUUUGGCUCAUUUGUGUAUUUUUUCAUCCUGUAAAAUGAUGCCAGUUUUAUUACCACAGAGCCUGUGCUUCAUGAAGUACUUACGAUAACAUACAAUGAGAAGCAGCAAACCCUC
Phyllostomus discolor (pale spear-nosed bat) is the source of this 331-nucleotide long non-coding RNA. RefSeq lists it as uncharacterized. NCBI's taxonomy places the organism in Eukaryota, Metazoa, Chordata, Mammalia, Chiroptera, Phyllostomidae. The record is from RefSeq and is a predicted model, not a curated record. The transcript has 2 exons.